This 728-nucleotide ribosomal RNA is filed under the name Achromobacter sp. 110518_136_C_G6. RNAcentral's name for it is "bacterial SSU rRNA". It matches the Rfam family "Bacterial small subunit ribosomal RNA", at positions 21 to 745 of the family's 1533-position model. Lineage: Bacteria; Pseudomonadati; Pseudomonadota; Betaproteobacteria; Burkholderiales; Alcaligenaceae. The record is from RNAcentral.
GGCUCAGAUUGAACGCUAGCGGGAUGCCUUACACAUGCAAGUCGAACGGCAGCACGGACUUCGGUCUGGUGGCGAGUGGCGAACGGGUGAGUAAUGUAUCGGAACGUGCCUAGUAGCGGGGGAUAACUACGCGAAAGCGUAGCUAAUACCGCAUACGCCCUACGGGGGAAAGCAGGGGAUCGUAAGACCUUGCACUAUUAGAGCGGCCGAUAUCGGAUUAGCUAGUUGGUGGGGUAAUGGCUCACCAAGGCGACGAUCCGUAGCUGGUUUGAGAGGACGACCAGCCACACUGGGACUGAGACACGGCCCAGACUCCUACGGGAGGCAGCAGUGGGGAAUUUUGGACAAUGGGGGAAACCCUGAUCCAGCCAUCCCGCGUGUGCGAUGAAGGCCUUCGGGUUGUAAAGCACUUUUGGCAGGAAAGAAACGCCGCGGGUUAAUACCCUGCGGAACUGACGGUACCUGCAGAAUAAGCACCGGCUAACUACGUGCCAGCAGCCGCGGUAAUACGUAGGGUGCAAGCGUUAAUCGGAAUUACUGGGCGUAAAGCGUGCGCAGGCGGUUCGGAAAGAAAGAUGUGAAAUCCCAGAGCUUAACUUUGGAACUGCAUUUUUAACUACCGAGCUAGAGUGUGUCAGAGGGAGGUGGAAUUCCGCGUGUAGCAGUGAAAUGCGUAGAUAUGCGGAGGAACACCGAUGGCGAAGGCAGCCUCCUGGGAUAACACUACG